RNAcentral lists this ribosomal RNA (492 nucleotides) under uncultured bacterium. RNAcentral describes it as "partial 16S ribosomal RNA". It matches the Rfam family "Bacterial small subunit ribosomal RNA", at positions 28 to 507 of the family's 1533-position model. The record is from RNAcentral.
GAUGAACGCUAGCUACAGGCUUAACACAUGCAAGUCGAGGGGAAACGACAUCGAAAGCUUGCUUUUGAUGGGCGUCGACCGGCGCACGGGUGAGUAACGCGUAUCCAACCUGCCCAUCACUUGGGAAUAACCUUGCGAAAGUAAGACUAAUACCCAAUGACAUCCCACGAAGACAUCUGAAUGGGAUUAAAGAUUUAUCGGUGAUGGAUGGGGAUGCGUCUGAUUAGCUUGUUGGCGGGGUAACGGCCCACCAAGGCAACGAUCAGUAGGGGUUCUGAGAGGAAGGUCCCCCACAUUGGAACUGAGACACGGUCCAAACUCCUACGGGAGGCAGCAGUGAGGAAGAUUGGGCAAUGGGCGAGAGCCUGAACCAGCCAAGUAGCGUGCAGGAUGACGGCCCUAUGGGUUGUAAACUGCUUUUAUAAGGGAAUAAAGUGGGUCUCGGGAGACUUUUUGCAUGUACCUUAUGAAUAAGGACCGGCUAAUUCCGUG